CUCUUAGAUGUUCUGGGCCGCACGCGUGCUACACUGAGUGGAUCAGCGGGUCAGGUUGCGCGAAAGCGUUUCCUAAUCUUUAAAUCCGCUCGUGAUGGGGAUUGACGGUUGCAAUUUUCUGUCAUGAACGAGGAAUACCUUGUAAGCGCGGGUCAUCAUCCCGCGCUGAAUACGUCCCUGCCCUUUGUACACACCGCCCGUCGCUCCUACCGAUUGAGUGGUCCGGUGAGGCUUUGGGAUCUGAGCGGAAAGAGCGUUUCGCUGUUUCUGCUCGGAAAACUCAGUCGAACCUUAUCAUUUAGAGGAAGGAGAAGGCGUAACA
This 322-nucleotide ribosomal RNA is filed under the name uncultured eukaryote. RNAcentral describes it as "partial 18S ribosomal RNA". It matches the Rfam family "Eukaryotic small subunit ribosomal RNA", at positions 1470 to 1796 of the family's 1831-position model. The record is from RNAcentral.